Molecule: ribosomal RNA, 846 nt
Filed under: uncultured soil bacterium
Lineage: Bacteria
Description: SSU rRNA
Rfam family: Bacterial small subunit ribosomal RNA
Source: RNAcentral
UGUUUAAGAUAGGGCUAUUGAUUUAACGGCCGCUGAUGGACCCUUAGAGUUUGACCCUGGCUACCACCGAACGUUGGCGGCGUGGAUACGACAUGCACGUCGAGCGCCUAUUGCAGGGUAGUAAUCUUCUGCACUCGGAGCGCCUCCCGGGGGCUUGACACCUGGGUAGUCUGCCAUGAAAUUUGGGAUAACUUGCUGAAAGGCCAGCUAAUACGCGAUGUGAUAAGUGGGAGGCCUCUCCUGAUUCUCAGAGUUGGAGACCGAACGGCCUGACGCUUCGUGAUUAGCCCUCGGCCUAUCAGCUAGUUCCUAAGGUAACGGGUUACCAAGGAUAUUACCGGUAUCUGGUCUUAGAGGACGACCAGACACACUGGAACUGAGACACGGUCCAGACACCUACGGGUGGCAGCAGUCGAGAAUUUUUCACAAUGGGGGAAACCCUGAUGGAGCGACGCCGCGUGGGGGAUGAAUGGCUUCGGCCCGUAAACCCCUGUCAUUUGCGAUCAACCCUUAUUAUUUAAAAGAUGAUAAGCUGAUAGUAGCGAAAGAGGAAGGGACGGCUAACUCUGUGCCAGCAGCCGCGGUAAUACAGAGGUCCCAAGCGUUGUUCGGAUUCACUGGGCGUAAAGGGUGCGUACGUGGCGAGGUAAGUCGGAUGUGAAAGCUCGGAGCUCAACUCCGAAAUGGCAUUGGACACUACCUUGCUCGAGGGUUGGAGGGGGGACUGGAAUACUUGGUGUAGCAUUGAAAUGAGUAGAUAUCAAGUGGAACACCAGGUGUCGAAGGCGAGUUCCUGGACGACGCCUGACACUCUGCACGAAAGCUAGGGGAGCAACAUGGAUGAGC